This 859-nucleotide ribosomal RNA is filed under the name uncultured marine bacterium. RNAcentral's name for it is "bacterial SSU rRNA". It matches the Rfam family "Bacterial small subunit ribosomal RNA", at positions 8 to 916 of the family's 1533-position model. The record is from RNAcentral.
AGAGUUUGAUCCUGGCUCAGAACGAACGCUGGCGGCAGGCCUAACACAUGCAAGUCGAGCGCGCCUUCGGGUGAGCGGCGGACGGGUUAGUAACGCGUGGGAACGUGCCCUUCUCUACGGAAUAGCCUCUGGAAACGGAGAGUAAUACCGUAUACGCCCUUUGGGGGAAAGAUUUAUCGGAGAAGGAUCGGCCCGCGUUAGAUUAGGUAGUUGGUGGGGUAAUGGCCUACCAAGCCUACGAUCUAUAGCUGGUUUUAGAGGAUGAUCAGCAACACUGGGACUGAGACACGGCCCAGACUCCUACGGGAGGCAGCAGUGGGGAAUCUUAGACAAUGGGGGCAACCCUGAUCUAGCCAUGCCGCGUGAGUGAUGAAGGCCUUAGGGUCGUAAAGCUCUUUCGCCUGUGAUGAUAAUGACAGUAGCAGGUAAAGAAACCCCGGCUAACUCCGUGCCAGCAGCCGCGGUAAUACGGAGGGGGUUAGCGUUGUUCGGAAUUACUGGGCGUAAAGCGCGCGUAGGCGGAUUAGAAAGUUGGGGGUGAAAUCCCGGGGCUCAACCCCGGAACUGCCUCCAAAACUGCUAGUCUAGAGUUCGAGAGAGGUGAGUGGAAUUCCGAGUGUAGAGGUGAAAUUCGUAGAUAUUCGGAGGAACACCAGUGGCGAAGGCGGCUCACUGGCUCGAUACUGACGCUGAGGUGCGAAAGUGUGGGGAGCAAACAGGAUUAGAUACCCUGGUAGUCCACACCGUAAACGAUGAAUGCCAGUCGUCGGAUAGUAUACUAUUCGGUGACACACCUAACGGAUUAAGCAUUCCGCCUGGGGAGUACGGUCGCAAGAUUAAAACUCAAAGGAAUUGACGG